This 788-nucleotide ribosomal RNA is filed under the name uncultured bacterium. RNAcentral describes it as "bacterial SSU rRNA". It matches the Rfam family "Bacterial small subunit ribosomal RNA", at positions 62 to 817 of the family's 1533-position model. The record is from RNAcentral.
UCGAACGAAAAGAGGGAAAGAGCUUGCUCUUUCCGGAAUUGAGUGGCACCUUAAAGAGUAACACGUAAACAACCUGCCUUCAGGAUGGGGACAACAGACGGAAACGACUGCUAAUACCGAAUAAGUUCCAAGGGCCGCAUGGCCCAUGGAAGAAAAGGUGGCCUCUACCUGUAAGCUAUCGCCUGAAGAGGGGUUUGCGUCUGAUUAGCUGGUUGGAGGGGUAACGGCCCACCAAGGCGACGAUCAGUAGCCGGUCUGAGAGGAUGAACGGCCACACUGGAACUGAGACACGGUCCAGACUCCUACGGGAGGCAGCAGUGGGGAAUCUUCCGCAAUGGGCGAAAGCCUGACGGAGCAACGCCGCGUGAGUGAUGACGGCCUUCGGGUUGUAAAACUCUGUGAUCCGGGACGAAAAGGCAGAGUGCGAAGAACAAACUGCAUUGACGGUACCGGAAAAGCAAGCCACGGCUAACUACGUGCCAGCAGCCGCGGUAAUACGUAGGUGGCAAGCGUUGUCCGGAAUUAUUGGGCGUAAAGCGCGCGCAGGCGGCUUCCCAAGUCCCUCUUAAAAGUGCGGGGCUUAACCCCGUGAUGGGAAGGAAACUGGGAAGCUGGAGUAUCGGAGAGGAAAGUGGAAUUCCUAGUGUAGCGGUGAAAUGCGUAGAGAUUAGGAAGAACACCGGUGGCGAAGGCGACUUUCUGGACGAAAACUGACGCUGAGGCGCGAAAGCGUGGGGAGCAAACAGGAUUAGAUACCCUGGUAGUCCACGCCGUAAACGAUGGAUACU